Molecule: ribosomal RNA, 472 nt
Filed under: uncultured bacterium
Lineage: Bacteria
Description: partial 16S ribosomal RNA
Rfam family: Bacterial small subunit ribosomal RNA
Source: RNAcentral
GACGAACGCUGGCGGCGUGCUUAACACAUGCAAGUCGAACGAUGAACCCGGAGCUUGCUCCGGGGGAUUAGUGGCGAACGGGUGAGUAACACGUGAGUAACCUGCCCUGGACCCUGGGAUAAGCGUUGGAAACGACGUCUAAUACCGGAUAGGACCUUGGAUCGCAUGAUCUGGGGUGGAAAGUUUUUUCGGUCUGGGAUGGACUCGCGGCCUAUCAGCUUGUUGGUGAGGUAAUGGCUCACCAAGGCGUCGACGGGUAGCCGGCCUGAGAGGGUGACCGGCCACACUGGGACUGAGACACGGCCCAGACUCCUACGGGAGGCAGCAGUGGGGAAUAUUGCACAAUGGGCGAAAGCCUGAUGCAGCAACGCCGCGUGCGGGAUGACGGCCUUCGGGUUGUAAACCGCUUUUAGUAGGGAAGAAGGGCUUCGGCUUGACGGUACCUGCAGAAAAAGGACCGGCUAACUACGUG